This is a long non-coding RNA of Candoia aspera, 1625 nucleotides long. RefSeq lists it as uncharacterized. The transcript is spliced from 3 exons. NCBI's taxonomy places the organism in Eukaryota, Metazoa, Chordata, Lepidosauria, Squamata, Candoiidae. The record is from RefSeq and is a predicted model, not a curated record.
CGGGUCCUUCGUGCGCCACCGCGGCCUCUUCGGCCCGCAGCGUGCCAACGCUAACCCCAGGUUGGCCCAUGGGGUAUGGUUGGCACCCCCGCGGACUGAUCAGAGGAGGAAGGAGGGCCUGCAUCGUGGUGGUGGUGGUGGGAAGGGUGCAGGAGCGUUAGGGGGCAUAAGACAGUGAGUAGGGACAGCGCAGGGCUGGCUGGAGGAGGGAGAAAAAGACUGACCCACAGACGCACAAAAAAGGCUGGACGCCGUUGGAAGAGCUGAAGGACCAGGACUGCAGAUGAGGGGAAAAUAGAAGGGAGAGAUCACCAAGGCUGAUGGAAGCUUGGCUGUCCACAUCUGGCCCGAGAGCUAGAAGAUCCCCACCAGCUUCAUUCAACGUCGGCAGGAGCUGGGACUAGCAACGGGAGCUCACCCCGUCACGCGGAUUCGAACCACCGACCUUCCGAUCGGCAAGCUCAGCAGCUCAGCGGUUUAACCCGCAGCGCCACCGCGUCCCCUUAGACAGCUCUUAACAGAGACCUUAUUUGUUACACUGGGCUUUUGAAUAAAUUUGAGCAAGGGACACAGGUUGCCUAUUCCUCUUUUAAAACACCCCAAUUUAGUAUUUCAGCCAAUGUCCUAUAAUCUCUUUAUUUCCACUCAUUUUUCUCUAAUGGCUUCUCCUGUCUGGAAUAUAACAAUUGCAAAAGCAUUGGCAAUCCUCAUCUUCUGUUUUAUGCUCAUAAUUGUAACCCCCUUGGCUUUGUCUCUUAGUCUUCAUCCCUUGUAGAAAUGAAGCCGAAUACUUUUAACUACAUCUGAUGAGUUCAUCACUUGCCUCUCUUUACUCCUACUGUUGAAAUGUAGAGGCAUAGCUUUGCUUUUUUUUUUUAUUGGCUGAAUAAAAUAUAGUUCAUGCUACACUGACAGCCAUAUAUGAGUAAUACUCAUAUAUGUAACAAAUGGUAAUCAGGUGCUGUCAACACAUCUUAAAACUAGAAAAACCCUUUCCAAAUUCAUUUUGAACCUAAUUUGGAGCAGAGACGGAUAAUUUAUUCAAAACCAAAUACAGUUUGACAAUUGCCCUUUAAUAUCAUUGGAACUCUCCUAAAUAAUUAUAACCUGUGAAGUAUGAACAGUUAUUAAGAUGACAUUGGGAGAAAUAUUAAAGCAGGAAAUGACUCACACUGGGCUGUGUUUCUUUUUGGCCUUCAGUGUUGUGCAGGCAGAUUUCAGGGGAAUCUUGCUUGCAUGAAAGCUGUUUGGAUCUACGUUAUAAUUUCUCCCCUCCAAGAAAUAUAUUGCCUAGAUCAUCCUUUUCCUCUUCCAAAAUGAAUUUAGACCUUUCAUUAAUUAAUUUUUUGGUUUUGGCUUGAAUCUUAGUCUGUUUUUGUAAAACGCAACUUCUGCAGCGCACAGUGAUACCGUAGGCAACAAGUGAAUCCUGUGGCAGUAAGUUGCAUCAGAUCUGAAAUCUCCUGCGAGAUUAUAUAUCAAAGAAAGGAAGUAGGUUUGCUAAUGAGCUGGGAACGUCUGCUGGGUCACCAAGUUCUUCAGUUCCAUCCAUACCAGAAAAGGUUGUGUUUUGUCCCAUAAACAGGAGUGGCAUAGUAGCCAUUGUAUAUAAAAAAUAAAUCAAC